UACGGGGGGGGUAAGCGUUGUUCGGAAUCACUGGGCGUAAAGCGCGCGUAGGCGGCCAAUCAAGUCAGGGGUGAAAUGCCGGAGCUUAACUUCGGAACUGCCUUUGAAACUGAUUGGCUGGAAGAUGAGAGGGGAGUGCGGAAUUUCUGGUGUAGAGGUGAAAUUCGUAGAUACCAGAAGGAACACCGGUGGCGAAGGCGGCACUCUGGCUCAUUCUUGACGCUCUGGCGCGAAAGCGUGGGGAUCAAACAGG
RNAcentral lists this ribosomal RNA (253 nucleotides) under uncultured bacterium. Its description in RNAcentral is "partial 16S ribosomal RNA". It matches the Rfam family "Bacterial small subunit ribosomal RNA", at positions 524 to 776 of the family's 1533-position model. The record is from RNAcentral.